This 139-nucleotide small nuclear RNA is filed under the name Ochotona princeps (American pika). Its description in RNAcentral is "U4 spliceosomal RNA (ENSOPRG00000023917.1)". Lineage: Eukaryota; Metazoa; Chordata; Mammalia; Lagomorpha; Ochotonidae. The record is from RNAcentral.
AGCUUUGUGCAGUGGCAGUAUCGUAGCUUUAUCCGAGGUGCGAUUAUUGCUAAUUGAAAAAUCCAAAUAUUACGAAAGUCUUGCUUAAUGAUAAUAUUUCCUUUUUCCUCAAUUAAACCAGUCAAGAACAGUCUUGGAA